UGCAAGGAAGCGUUAUUCACACAGAAGUUUGGAACUCUUUCUUAUAAGUCAAUUGAAUGGUGAAACUUCAAAACAAAAACUGUUAGAUUUGUUUUUCAUUGAGGUUAUUAUUAUGAGUUACGAAGCCAAAGUUGAUACAGUUAAUUUAUUGAUUGGGGCAUGAUCUAUUUAAAAGACAAAAUGUUUGAAGGUCUGCUCCAGUUCCUAUGCUUCCUAAAUUAAUGAAUAUCUGUCUCCAUUGUCCUCCUGGUAACAGACUUCGACAUGUAUAUCCUGCUGGUGACUAGAGCAUUGUUGGUUGAUUAUAUGGAAUAAUUAAUGCUUGACAACUCUUCAGCAGCUGAAUUCUCAGGAGCGGCCCUUAUUCAUUAUAACUGUUCACCCAUUUGGAACCUAGUUCUGGAAGCUGAGUGAAGAGGAAGAAGGAAAUUUUCAUUGGUGCAGUGAAUCCAUCCACGAUUGCUUUUGGGAAGCGUUCCAGGAUUGGAGGAGUUUCUAUUUCUGCACCUGGAUCAGGAUGUUAGGAUUUACUGUUGAUCACGCUUACAGCUUCCAUAUCAUAUCAGUCAAUCAACCAUGGCAGGCACAUCAUCUUCACGCAUUCCAACACACUCAGCGCAACUGGCAAGCAUAGCAUUAAAUCUGUUUCCCCACGGCCAGUGUCACAGGCUGCUGCUGUAGAUACUUCCAAGCUCCACAGAUGAUGACUGCACUACCUCUUUCAGAACCAAUUUUGUGAACACUGUUGAUUACAUUAAAUAUGUAUGUUGGAAAUUCAUGAACUAAGUUGAAGGUACUGAUGGUGAUAAGCCUGCAUUCCAUAGACCAACCUUAAAAAGGCUAUUACCUUAUAAUUAUCAUAGAUACUUCAUUUAUUGACAAUUCUAAAUUUGUUGAAAAACAUACUGGGAUAUUCUAAGGUUUCCUUGUUUAUACAUCAUAGAUUAUUUAAAUUAGGAAAAUUAGAAAUUGGCAAACUGAGAACAGGAAACGCUGGAAAAAAGUGGCAGGUUAGGCAGCAUCCGAGGAAAGAGAAGCAGAAUUAAUGUUUCAGAUCUUCAUCAGAACUGGGAAAAGGAGAAAACCAAAUUAGCUUCCAGUUGCAAAGAAAGUUGCAGAAGAUUAUGUUAAACAAGAGGAAUUUCUCUGAUAAGAGGAGAGUAAAUGGUUUAAAGGGGUAGUUUGAAACACAUUAUCCUUCUCUAUUUAUGUAACGUGUUGUUAACAUUAUUAUAUUGGCAUUAAAAUUAUAAUACUGUGAUAUUCCAAGAAUAAUUAUAUUGCUCACAACCUCAUUGUCAACAAUGGAUUACAUGAAUGAAACUCUUUCUGAAUUCUUUUGGACUCUGAUUAAAAAUCAGACAGCAGUAAGGUGUAUUGUGGUCAUACUACUGCACACUAUAAGGCACAGCAGUAUCACAUGGAUCCAUGUCUCUUUAUUUCCAAUACAUAUUAUGAUUCUGGCUUUAUAUAUAUGGAAAACAAUAUAAAUAUCAAAGAGGUAUAUAGGUAAAAUAAAGUCAAAUUAAGAAAGAACAACAGAGGAUUAAAGAGCAUAAGUCGUCAAAGCAGCAGGAUAUUUAGGAAGAGGUAUUUCAUCAUAAUCUUAUGUACAAACGAGACAAUGAAAGCUGUCAAGGUGAUUUAUGUGAUUGCAUUUGCAAGCUCCUUUGAGAGGCGAUGCCCCUUAGUAUCAUUCGGUAUAAUGCAACCUAGCUAGUAAUGAGGCUCCAGACCCAACAAUAGCUUCUGGGGAUUCAAGCUCAGACCACCAGGAGGGUUAUAAAGCUCGCUACCAAACUACUGAGAUGAUACACAGACCAACCUGAGUCUGACAAGGAAUGAGACAGAGAUGUUCACUAUCAGUUGCAAGCCAUCAAGAAAGAAAGGUUUCACCACUGGUAAAAGAGAGUGGAAAAUAUAUUAUCUAUUUAUAUGGCACGAUAUAAGCUUGUUAAAGGGCACUUCCUCUUCAAAUAUUCAGGCAGGUUUCUUUUACUUUCACACUUAGAACAGGAAUUCUGUAUACAGUGGAUUCCAGUUAAUUGGCCAGUUGGUUAAUCAGUGUAACCAUUUAUUUGGGGUAACUAUUAAAGAACAAAAAAAUCAGUAAAAUAGCUGGGAUUCCCUUCAUUUAUUUGGGACACCAAGCCACUUAAUUGGGACAGGAGACCUUUGCCAAACAGUUUCUAACUAGUGCACUUGAGUGGCUGUUAGACACUACAUGGUACUUAAGUCAUGUUAUUACAUCGUAUAAUUUUUUUUAAUCGUGUCACUUGUGUGUGUUUGUGUUCAAAAAGCUGUGAUUUUUGUCACAUAAGUGGUGGGAGAUAAACAGAAAGACAAUUUGGACUGUUUUGCUCACCGUGAUUUCAAGCACUUAGGCUUGGAGAUGCCAGAAACACCUGGAGUGAAAAUGAAAUGAUUUUAUGACUUCAUCAAGUUAGGUUAGGAAUGACAAAGAAGUUGAAAGUAUCAACAAAUAUCAUGAAUGUUCAAAUGAGAAUGAAGAUUUGGAGGGUCUCAUCUGAAGAAUGUGUAUGAAAGCAGUCCGUUAUCUGCACUAGAUGUCUGCUCUGAUUUUGUUCAUUUACAGUAAAUCAGAAGGGCAUGGCAGAUAAGUUCCUCCAUCGAUAAUUAUUAGGAAAUAAUAUACAGUUUUAUAGUACUGUAGAUAGUGUUUUAAUUUGUUCUGUAUUUCAUUUAAAUGCAUAAACAAUUUAUGAGUUAAAAAGUUGUUUGUCUCUUAAAUUUUUAACUAUUUCCAUGAAACUUUGACUAAUUGGGGUAGCCAGUUGGGCCAAAGUGUACUGGUCCGAAUGUGUUCCAAUUAACUGGAAUCCACUGUAUUUUACUUGUGUAAUGUAAACCAAGGUUAGUGUGGCCAAUAUUGACAGCUAUUAGAAUACAGAAAUUCUGACAUGCAUACAAUGUCAGAUUAACCAGAAUACAUCUAUAUUGAUGUGCUUUUGAUGUUCACCAACUAUGGAUUAAGGUUAUCAAGAAUUGUUUUUGCUGAUGCCCAUCGUUCUCCAUGGAAAGUCGCAGAAAUGCUUUCCUGACCAUUGCGUCUCACGGUAGAUCUCCACCAGAGCUGACUUCACAUGCUAGAACAGGAGUGUCCCUAGCUCGUUCGGGUAUGAGGCCCACCAGCUGCACUCACCUGGUUUAGCCCACCUGUCGAUGUGGCCGUUGUCGCAUGCAAAUAGCUACUUGGAGUCUCAGUGAGAGCUGAGUUUCUGGUGAGGACGAAAGGUGAGUGAGCUGCCCCAUAGUGGAAAUGACAAGUCCCUUCACCAGAGGUGUUAUUCCUAUACACCCCAUUUCCAACUUUAUAUAAAUUCCUAGAGAAAACAUGGCACUUAAUUAAAAAUGGUAAUAAAUUAGGUAAUAAGGCAAUAAGGUAAUAAGGCAGAAUGAAAUGCUCCAUGAUUGGCAGAAUGGGACAAGUGGCUGUCCUCGGGGAUCUGCACAGAGCUUUAGCACUUUCCUAUACAUAUUAAUAAUGCAUAGGAAAAGGAAUAGUAAGUUGUCUAUCAGACUUUGCAGAUUGAUCGGAAGGCAGAGAAAAAUGUGCCAGUACAGACAUGGAAGUUACAAAGGGUUGAGGAGAAAUUUGAAAUAUAGGUAAAACUAAGUCAGUCAGUGUUCAAAAUCAGGAAAUAUGUGGCCUAUUUUAGAUACAAGAAAGUACUAUCAUUUUCCUAAUGGAAAUGAGGUUAAAUGAAAGCAAGGAGAUGUGUGGGUCCAUCUAAAGAAAUCACAUAGUGGUGGUGAACCGAUACUAAUAAAGUCAAAAGGGCCAAUGCGCUGUUGGCAAUCUCAAAAAUCAUGAAAUUAAUCCUUUAUACAUACAGAUCCUUAUUUAAAAAACAUCAGGAGCAUUGCACUGCAUUUUAAAUAGAAUAUCAUAAACCCUUGGUCUUGUUUCUCAGGCUUGUACAACAUGCAAUAAUUUUAGCAAUGUGAUACAAAGGCUUAAAAGGUUAAGUUAGCAAUUUUCAAAAUAUGUUUUCCAGUCUCUUAAACUCAAAAGUUUGAGAAUGGUCUAACUGAACUCAUUCAGAGAAACUAUUGGCUCAAAUGGGAAAGCCAGAAAUAAAAGUGGAAUGGCUUUUAAAGUUUAGGCAGGCCUGUUAGGAUUGGAAUCAGAAAGCUCUUUCAACCACUAAAGGUAGGAGAAAUGUGAAAACUUCUAUUCCAAAAAGUUCAGGACCCCGGGCCAAAAGAUAAUUUCACACCUGAGACUAUCAGAAUUUUAUUAGCACUUGGGGUUUUAUGAUAUGGACCGGAAGCAGAGUAUAGGUUUGAAAGAGCUGAACUUGGAACAACAGUGAACUCUCAUUUACCAUGCAGCCAGAAUUCUAAUUACACUGGCAAAUAUGAUUAAGAACAAUAAGCAAUUUCAUAAAUUUUAUUUCAGAUUUUAUCAAAAUGUGGAAAGAAUUUUUUGUUUAUGUAUGUUUAUGCAUUAGAGCAGUGCAGUUGCAGACUGAAGAGCAGCAACAUCCUCUUUGAAGUAUCGGCACUUCACAUGAUGUCUAAACAUUGGACAGUGAAGAUUUAUCGAGGUACGGAAACCCGAAGGAUCGAGUAAAGUUGGUGUCGUUGGCAGUAAAACAGGAUUGACCUUAUUGGAUCUUCGUUCUGGAGAUAGUAACCUGCAUCCGAGAUAGCCCCUGCUGUAAGAGCAGAAAGGGUUCGGUGCAGUGUUAUUCGUCAAGGAAAAAGUUAGUUCCUUCAAGCCGUUUUUAUUUCCUUCAUCGUGAAUCCUUCUGGUGAGGCAUAUUUCGUCCGGGAUCAGCAGUAACGUCACUUCUUCUAGGAAUUUGUUACUUCAGGAAAGUCUCUCCUAAUUGACUGUAUAAAUCAUUUGGACUUCCGCAUUUAUCGCUUUAAGAACUGUUCAAGUUGCCAAUUAGCAGUUAAUUUCCGGUUAAGUUAGUCAUUUGUUUAUUUUUAAUUUUUAUU
Hypanus sabinus (Atlantic stingray) is the source of this 4971-nucleotide long non-coding RNA. RefSeq lists it as uncharacterized. The transcript is spliced from 5 exons. The record is from RefSeq and is a predicted model, not a curated record. NCBI's taxonomy places the organism in Eukaryota, Metazoa, Chordata, Chondrichthyes, Myliobatiformes, Dasyatidae.